RNAcentral lists this ribosomal RNA (219 nucleotides) under uncultured bacterium. Its description in RNAcentral is "partial 16S ribosomal RNA". It matches the Rfam family "Bacterial small subunit ribosomal RNA", at positions 111 to 334 of the family's 1533-position model. The record is from RNAcentral.
UAAUGUAUGGGGAUCUGCCCGAUAGAGGGGGAUAACUACUGAAACGGUGGCUAAUACCGCAUAAUGUCUACGGACCAAAGCAGGGGCUCUUCGGACCUUGCACUAUCGGAUGAACCCAUAUGGGAUUAGCUAGUAGGUGGGGUAAAGGCUCACCUAGGCGACGAUCUCUAGCUGGUCUGAGAGGAUGAUCAGCCACACUGGGACUGAGACACGGCCCAG